This 507-nucleotide ribosomal RNA is filed under the name uncultured bacterium. RNAcentral's name for it is "bacterial SSU rRNA". It matches the Rfam family "Bacterial small subunit ribosomal RNA", at positions 29 to 531 of the family's 1533-position model. The record is from RNAcentral.
AAUAAACGCUGGCGGCGUGCCUAACACAUGCAAGUCGAGCGAGAAAGCUCCUUCGGGAGUUAGUAAAGCGGCGAACGGGUGAGCAACACGUGAGAAUCUACCCUUUAGUGAAGAAUACCCUCGAGAAAUCGAGGCUAAUACUGCAUACGUCCCUUCGGGGAAGAAAGAUGGCCUCUUUGCUAUCGCUAAAGGAUGAGCUUGCGUACUAUUAGCUAGUUGGCGGGGUAAAGGCCCACCAAGGCAAUGAUGGUUAACCGGCCUGAGAGGGUGUACGGUCACACUGGAACUUAGACACGGUCCAGACUCCUACGGGAGGCAGCAGUGAGGAAAUCUUGCGCAAUGGGCGAAAGCCUGACGCAGCGACGCCGCGUGGAGGAUGACGGUUUUCGGAUUGUAAACUCCUGUUAAGCGGGAAGAAAGCCUUGUUUCCAAUACAAGCAAGGUAUGACGGUACCGCUAGAGAAAGCACCGGCUAACUUCGUGCCAGCAGCCGCGGUAAGGUGCGCG